GCCUAAUACAUGCAAGUCGAGCGAACAGAGAAGGAGCUUGCUCCUUUGACGUUAGCGGCGGACGGGUGAGUAACACGUGGGCAACCUACCUUAUAGUUUGGGAUAACUCCGGGAAACCGGGGCUAAUACCGAAUAAUCUGUUUCACCUCAUGGUGAAAUAUUGAAAGACGGUUUCGGCUGUCGCUAUAGGAUGGGCCCGCGGCGCAUUAGCUAGUUGGUGAGGUAACGGCUCACCAAGGCGACGAUGCGUAGCCGACCUGAGAGGGUGAUCGGCCACACUGGGACUGAGACACGGCCCAGACUCCUACGGGAGGCAGCAGUAGGGAAUCUUCCACAAUGGGCGAAAGCCUGAUGGAGCAACGCCGCGUGAGUGAAGAAGGAUUUCGGUUCGUAAAACUCUGUUGUAAGGGAAGAACAAGUACAGUAGUAACUGGCUGUACCUUGACGGUACCUUAUUAGAAAGCCACGGCUAACUACGUGCCAGCAGCCGCGGUAAUACGUAGGUGGCAAGCGUUGUCCGGAAUUAUUGGGCGUAAAGCGCGCGCAGGUGGUUUCUUAAGUCUGAUGUGAAAGCCCACGGCUCAACCGUGGAGGGUCAUUGGAAACUGGGAGACUUGAGUGCAGAAGAGGAUAGUGGAAUUCCAAGUGUAGCGGUGAAAUGCGUAGAGAUUUGGAGGAACACCAGUGGCGAAGGCGACUAUCUGGUCUGUAACUGACACUGAGGCGC
This 727-nucleotide ribosomal RNA is filed under the name Lysinibacillus sphaericus. Its description in RNAcentral is "bacterial SSU rRNA". It matches the Rfam family "Bacterial small subunit ribosomal RNA", at positions 46 to 754 of the family's 1533-position model. The record is from RNAcentral. Lineage: Bacteria; Bacillati; Bacillota; Bacilli; Caryophanales; Bacillaceae.